Molecule: transfer RNA, 71 nt
Filed under: Thermoleophilia bacterium
Lineage: Bacteria; Bacillati; Actinomycetota; Thermoleophilia
Description: tRNA-Phe
Rfam family: tRNA
About the family: Transfer RNA (tRNA) molecules are approximately 80 nucleotides in length. Their secondary structure includes four short double-helical elements and three loops (D, anti-codon, and T loops). Further hydrogen bonds mediate the characteristic L-shaped molecular structure. tRNAs have two regions of fundamental functional importance: the anti-codon, which is responsible for specific mRNA codon recognition, and the 3' end, to which the tRNAs corresponding amino acid is attached (by aminoacyl-tRNA synthetases). tRNAs cope with the degeneracy of the genetic code in two manners: having more than one tRNA (with a specific anti-codon) for a particular amino acid; and 'wobble' base-pairing, i.e. permitting non-standard base-pairing at the 3rd anti-codon position.
Source: RNAcentral
CGAGGUUGCGAGCGGCGUCGAGCACACGACUGAAAAUCGUGGUGUCCCCGGUUCGAGUCCGGGUCUCGCCA